AGUGAACGCUGGCGGUAGGCCUAACACAUGCAAGCCGAACGGCAGCACAGUAAGAGCUUGCUCUUACGGGUGGCGAGUGGCGGACGGGUGAGGAAUACAUCGGAAUCUACUUUUUCGUGGGGGAUAACGUAGGGAAACUUACGCUAAUACCGCAUACGACCUACGGGUGAAAGCAGGGGAUCUUCGGACCUUGCGCGAUUGAAUGAGCCGAUGUCGGAUUAGCUAGUUGGCGGGGUAAAGGCCCACCAAGGCGACGAUCCGUAGCUGGUCUGAGAGGAUGAUCAGCCACACUGGAACUGAGACACGGUCCAGACUCCUACGGGAGGCAGCAGUGGGGAAUAUUGGACAAUGGGCGCAAGCCUGAUCCAGCCGUACCGCGUGGGUGAAGAAGGCCUUCGGGUUGUAAAGCCCUUUUGUUGGGAAAGAAAAGCAGCAGGUUAAUACCCCGCUGUUCUGACGGUACCCAAAGAAUAAGCACCGGCUAACUUCGUG
This 492-nucleotide ribosomal RNA is filed under the name uncultured bacterium. RNAcentral's name for it is "partial 16S ribosomal RNA". It matches the Rfam family "Bacterial small subunit ribosomal RNA", at positions 29 to 507 of the family's 1533-position model. The record is from RNAcentral.